This is a non-coding RNA of Phasianus colchicus (ring-necked pheasant), 1164 nucleotides long. NCBI's taxonomy places the organism in Eukaryota, Metazoa, Chordata, Aves, Galliformes, Phasianidae. The record is from RefSeq and is a predicted model, not a curated record.
UCGGCCGUGCCUCCCGCCGUAGAGCGGCGGAACCGCCGGAACGCACGGAGCAGCACUUCCGGUUGGGCGGGGCACGGAGCAGCACAGGGAGGGCGGAAGUGGCAGGAAGUCACGUGGCUAGGCACGAUCACGCGCUGCGCAUGCGCUUCCCACGCGCUGCGAGGGGCGGCCAUUGUGUGGGUUGUUGUGCUUUUCGCGCGCUGCAGGGCUGAGCGCGAGGCGCGACCGUUGGGCUUUUCCAGUCAGCGCUGUGGCGGCCGCCCGUAUCGGGGUGUGUGGUUACCGGGCUCCGAGCCGCUCUACCUGUUGCUGCUGUGCGUUGUAGUUACCCUACAAUGAGAUAGAAGUAUCUGCAGGAUCAUCCCCCGCGCAGUUCUGCUCCAGUAUUGCCCAUAGCACAGCCCAGCAGCAUGAGCUACAAGCAAAUAAUGCCAGUUAAUCAUUCUAGAAGCUUUUUGUCUCCUUCCCUGGUUAUUUAUGACUAAGUAAUUACAGACUGGCUCUCUAGCAGGCUUCGGGUGGAUGGUUAAGUACAAGAAAGAUGAAUUACAGUUGCAGCAAAUGCAGGAGGGCAUAGUGGAGAACUAAAGACAUUGUAACAAGCCCACAAGCAGGUGUCAGCAACAGAAGAGCCAGCAGUGCUGUACUGCUCGCCUCAGGAUGGCUGUUAGGGAAACAGGACUUGGGGUGCUGCUUCCAAUCUGCUCCUUGUGUUUGAGCAGCUUCACAGUUGAUGUAGCAACGAAUGCAUCACCCUGGCCUUUGCUUCAGGGCUGAAGAGAACGUGCUUUGAAACAUGGAUGUCUGCUGUCCUCAGGAAGCUGUACAGCAUCUCUCUGUCAGACCAAGAACAUUAUCCAGAGGGCUUGCUGUGUUCUUUGUCCAGACAGAGGAUCUGCUGGAAUGUGUGGAAGCUUCUGCCAUGUCUGGGUCAGUUUGAAAGAGACUAAUCCAGAAGAUAGGAACAGCUCCUAGAGCACACACUUGUGCUUAAAGGUAUGUGCAUAGCAGAGAUUCCUAGAUUGAUUUUAGUUACAGAAUAGUUCAUAACUGGGUAAUGACACUAGCUGUGAAGUGUUCUAAUGAAAAUUAUGGAAGGGGAGUUGAAAAGCUGGUAUCUCAGACAUUUGAAACAAAUAUUCUCCUUUCUUUGCUUUGGUUUGU